RNAcentral lists this ribosomal RNA (497 nucleotides) under uncultured bacterium. RNAcentral describes it as "partial 16S ribosomal RNA". It matches the Rfam family "Bacterial small subunit ribosomal RNA", at positions 28 to 507 of the family's 1533-position model. The record is from RNAcentral.
GAUGAACGCUGGCGGCGUGCCUAAUACAUGCAAGUAGAACGCUGAAGGAAGGAGCUCGCUCUUUCCGGAUGAGUUGCGAACGGGUGAGUAACGCGUAGGUAACCUGCCUGGUAGCGGGGGAUAACUAUUGGAAACGAUAGCUAAUACCGCAUAACAGUAGAUGUGGCAUGAUAUCUACUUAAAAGGUGCAAUUGCACCACUGCCAGAUGGACCUGCGUUGUAUUAGCUAGUUGGGGAGGGAACGGCUCACCAAGGCGACGAUACCUAGCCGACCUGAGAGGGUGAUCGGCCACAAUGGGACUGAGACACGGCCCAGACUCCUACGGGAGGCAGCAGUAGGGAAUCUUCGGCAAUGGACGGAAGUCUGACCGAGCAACGCCGCGUGAGUGAAGAAGGUUUUCGGAUCGUAAAGCUCUGUUGUAAGAGAAGAACGAGUGUGAGAGUGGAAAGUUCACACUGUGACGGUAGCUUACCAGAAAGAGACGGCUAACUACGUG